RNAcentral lists this ribosomal RNA (785 nucleotides) under Escherichia coli. Its description in RNAcentral is "partial 23S ribosomal RNA". It matches the Rfam family "Bacterial large subunit ribosomal RNA", at positions 965 to 1751 of the family's 2925-position model. The record is from RNAcentral. Lineage: Bacteria; Pseudomonadati; Pseudomonadota; Gammaproteobacteria; Enterobacterales; Enterobacteriaceae. RNAcentral also lists the same sequence under 1 other name.
GAGAAUGUUAUCACGGGAGACACACGGCGGGUGCUAACGUCCGUCGUGAAGAGGGAAACAACCCAGACCGCCAGCUAAGGUCCCAAAGUCAUGGUUAAGUGGGAAACGAUGUGGGAAGGCCCAGACAGCCAGGAUGUUGGCUUAGAAGCAGCCAUCAUUUAAAGAAAGCGUAAUAGCUCACUGGUCGAGUCGGCCUGCGCGGAAGAUGUAACGGGGCUAAACCAUGCACCGAAGCUGCGGCAGCGACGCUUAUGCGUUGUUGGGUAGGGGAGCGUUCUGUAAGCCUGCGAAGGUGUGCUGUGAGGCAUGCUGGAGGUAUCAGAAGUGCGAAUGCUGACAUAAGUAACGAUAAAGCGGGUGAAAAGCCCGCUCGCCGGAAGACCAAGGGUUCCUGUCCAACGUUAAUCGGGGCAGGGUGAGUCGACCCCUAAGGCGAGGCCGAAAGGCGUAGUCGAUGGGAAACAGGUUAAUAUUCCUGUACUUGGUGUUACUGCGAAGGGGGGACGGAGAAGGCUAUGUUGGCCGGGCGACGGUUGUCCCGGUUUAAGCGUGUAGGCUGGUUUUCCAGGCAAAUCCGGAAAAUCAAGGCUGAGGCGUGAUGACGAGGCACUACGGUGCUGAAGCAACAAAUGCCCUGCUUCCAGGAAAAGCCUCUAAGCAUCAGGUAACAUCAAAUCGUACCCCAAACCGACACAGGUGGUCAGGUAGAGAAUACCAAGGCGCUUGAGAGAACUCGGGUGAAGGAACUAGGCAAAAUGGUGCCGUAACUUCGGGAGAAGGCACGC